UCCUGAUCUUAAUUAAUAAAAAUAAUAUUAAUUAGAGAUAAUUAUUGGGGUUAAUUUAAAGGAUAAGUGACCAAAAAUGUGGAAAAGUAAUUAGAGGACAAUACUCUUUGAUUUAAAGAUGAAGGGCAUAAUGACCAUGAUGUUGGGAGAGGAUGUGAAUGAGAGUGGUUAUGAGAAGGGCGGGAUGGUAAUUGAGGAUCUAUUGCUAUAUAAAUCACAAACCUUUGUCCAUUUCACUUCCUGUUUUAAUUUUACUGAGAAUAUACUCCUCACCUCAUUUAUCUAUCUCUCUCUCACGCAGAAACAUAACCUUUCCCUUUCUCUUUUCUGUCUCACAAACUCACCAUCAUUGUCAACAACCCCAAGGUCACUACACUUGCCAUUAAUUCACCACUUGAGAAAGUCAGAACAACAAACUUAACUCUCCUUUUCUCUCUCGCCUCAGUCCCUCAAAAUUGAUGGUAAAUCCCUCACCUUGAAUCAAUGAAAGGAAAACCCAUUGCAUGUGUGUUUAUGUUCAAAUUCAAGCUCUUGCUGAUUAGGAAUAGAGGUGAGAAUAAUGAAAUUAGUUCCUUUUCCAUCCUUCUCUGUUCUCAUUAAGUUUUCAAAACUAAACCCUUAUGUAUUCUUUGUUGUGGCUGCAUGUGAGGAAUUGUUGUUUUGAACCUAUGCAUAAAUGUUGGGAGCUGCAAAUUGAGUGAAACAGGGAUUGGAAGACCCUUUAAUGGGUUCGAAGAAUUGGGAGAGCUCAUAGCUAGCCUUUUUGCCUCUUUGGUGGUUAUUGGCACUUUAAGUUUCGUGAAAUUUGGAUCAGUAUUGAAGCCGGUAGAUGCUUCUGAAGUCAGGGCACUGAUGCUGUCAAAAUUCUGAUUUUGAGACUGCUGGUUUGUGCUUCAAGAGGCACGAAAGGAUGUUCGAGAACGUACGGAACAACUCAGUGACGCUAGAAAUAUCAGGUGGGUUUGUUUAAGUAGAGACAUGGCAACCAUAAGUCUAAAACAUAGGAUUUUAAUUUAUUUUCAUGUUGGGAUAUGAUUAGUAACCUAGAUAACUCAUAAAUGGAUUAAUUAUGAAAUUGGACUUAAUUCCCCAUUGCAUGUGACUGUGUUGGUAGUAUCUAUGAUGGUUAAGGUGUUAUAAAUGAUUAGAGACAAUUAGGGACCGUUUUAGAACUCUGUUUAUUGAUUUUGCAGUUUUGCACGAAAACUUGCAUUGGUGCAAGGCUUGGUUGAAUCGGUUCAACCAACUCAGAACAAGUACAAUGGGUAAAACUGGGCCUGUUGAGUCGGUGCGUUAUAAUGAUGAACCGGUGCAAGAGCUUCUAGAGUUACAGGUUGGAAAUUCUGGGCAAAUUGUACCGGUUCGAGCAGGGCUUGAGUCAGUGCAAGAAUCCUAGGAAAACAAAAUAGUUUCUAAGUAUUUAUGAACCGGUGCAAGAAGAGUUUGAGCUGGUGCAAAUGGUAAGUUUGCACCGGUGCAAGCCAACUUUGAAUCGGUGCAUAAAUCUUAGAGUGGUCCCUAUGGAGUCCAAAGGCACUGAUGCACCAGGGCAAGUUAAUCGGUGCAUCGUGACAAAACAGUUUGAAAAGCUUGAGUACUUAACCAUCAUGAAUAGAACUGAACGUACAUGCUUUAAAACAUGAGUAUAGGUAGAAACAUGAAUUAAAAACCUAUGCAUGGAUCUAUUUGAUCACUUAGGACUUCCCGGGAUGGGUUGUUAUGUUAAGUUAAUUAAUUAGAGUAGUUGAUCAAUUAGUGGUUAAUUCCCAGACCACUUAUUAGUAUAGCAUUAUGCUAUGAGAGGUUUCCGUACAUUAGUAGGGAAUCCGUUAAGUUAUGUAAUUAAUGUGAGCAAGACCAACGUGGCAUAGCUAUGUCACAACGGGUAGUGGAGAACAUCCUAAGAGGAGUACAUCCUUAGUGGACCUUUCGAGAUAUACUCACCUCGGAAGCUUCCCGUAAAACGAACAAGAUAAUAUUUGUGUGAUACACUUUUAUUUAUAUUAUGUUAUUCUUUAAUGAAUAUAAGAUUAUUAGUGAUCAACUAUUUUCAGGACCCCGGUGUUAGUACACCAAGUAGAGGGUAGUAAGAAACUCACUGAGGCUUAGUAGUCUCACCCCACAAUUAUUGAUUAUAGGUAGCAGGUUGUCGUUCGAGAAGCUGGAACUUGGACGGAUCAGCAAGGCUUAUUCAGCGGUUAUCUGUUUUAGACUCAAGGAAGAUUUUGUAUAGGAUUAUGCCAUAUGUACAUGUAUUUGUCAGUUAUCAUGGUUCUAAUGUAAACUUAUUAACGGUUACAUUAUGAAAGCUUAUUCAGUUUAAUUAAAUCAUGUAUAUUUGGUAUUUCCUUCAGACUACUUGUGUAAAAAAUCAGUUUUAUUUCCGAAAUUUUAAUGUUUCCCGAUUCAGUUAUGCAUGCUCCUAUUGAUAUUCUAGAUAAAUCAAUAUGGGGUGUUAUA
Molecule: long non-coding RNA, 2460 nt
Filed under: Trifolium pratense (red clover)
Lineage: Eukaryota; Viridiplantae; Streptophyta; Magnoliopsida; Fabales; Fabaceae
Description: long non-coding RNA (TPRA_LNC004562)
Source: RNAcentral